This is a small nucleolar RNA of Molossus molossus (Pallas's mastiff bat), 132 nucleotides long. RefSeq annotates it as small nucleolar RNA SNORA48. Lineage: Eukaryota; Metazoa; Chordata; Mammalia; Chiroptera; Molossidae. The transcript has a single exon. The record is from RefSeq and is a predicted model, not a curated record.
UGUUGCUGAUCUGGGUAGAGUAGCACCUGGUUUGGUGGUGCUUGUCUCAUAUCAGCCAGGGACAAGUAACUCCUUCUUUAUCCCAGCUUGGCUUUUGGUCUGUGCCCAUGCCUAGUUCGUGCCCAUGCCUGC